CUUGCUGCUUCGCUGACGAGUGGCGGACGGGUGAGUAAUGUCUGGGAAACUGCCUGAUGGAGGGGGAUAACUACUGGAAACGGUAGCUAAUACCGCAUAACGUCGCAAGACCAAAGAGGGGGACCUUCGGGCCUCUUGCCAUCGGAUGUGCCCAGAUGGGAUUAGCUAGUUGGUGGGGUAACGGCUCACCUAGGCGACGAUCCCUAGCUGGUCUGAGAGGAUGACCAGCCACACUGGAACUGAGACACGGUCCAGACUCCUACGGGAGGCAGCAGUGGGGAAUAUUGCACAAUGGGCGCAAGCCUGAUGCAGCCAUGCCGCGUGUAUGAAGAAGGCCUUCGGGUUGUAAAGUACUUUCAGCGGGGAGGAAGGGAGUAAAGUUAAUACCUUUGCUCAUUGACGUUACCCGCAGAAGAAGCACCGGCUAACUCCGUGCCAGCUGCC
This 444-nucleotide ribosomal RNA is filed under the name Escherichia coli. RNAcentral describes it as "bacterial SSU rRNA". It matches the Rfam family "Bacterial small subunit ribosomal RNA", at positions 79 to 516 of the family's 1533-position model. Lineage: Bacteria; Pseudomonadati; Pseudomonadota; Gammaproteobacteria; Enterobacterales; Enterobacteriaceae. The record is from RNAcentral.